Molecule: ribosomal RNA, 253 nt
Filed under: uncultured bacterium
Lineage: Bacteria
Description: partial 16S ribosomal RNA
Rfam family: Bacterial small subunit ribosomal RNA
Source: RNAcentral
UACGGAGGGUGCAAGCGUUAUCCGGAUUCACUGGGUUUAAAGGGUGCGUAGGCGGCGCGGUAAGUCGGGUGUGAAAUCUCGGAGCUUAACUCCGAAACUGCAUUCGAUACUGCCGUGCUUGAGGACUGGAGAGGAGACUGGAAUUUACGGUGUAGCGGUGAAAUGCGUAGAUAUCGUAAGGAAGACCAGUGGCGAAGGCGGGUCUCUGGACAGUUCCUGACACUGAGACACGAAGGCCAGGGGAGCAAACGGG